Molecule: non-coding RNA, 148 nt
Filed under: Chlorocebus sabaeus (green monkey)
Lineage: Eukaryota; Metazoa; Chordata; Mammalia; Primates; Cercopithecidae
Source: Rfam by way of RNAcentral
GCCAGGCGUGGUGGUGCAUGCUUGUAGUCCCAGCUACUCGGGAGGCUGAGGCAAGAGAAUUGCUUGAGCCUGGGAGGCAUAGGUUGCAGUGAGCUGAGAUCACGCCACUGCACUCCAGCCCAGGUAACAGAGUGAGACCCUGUCUCGA